UCCCUGGUGGUUCAGCUGGUAAAGAAUCUGCCUGCGAUGCAAGAGACCUGGGUUCGAUCCCUGGCUUGGGAA
This 72-nucleotide transfer RNA is filed under the name Bos taurus (domestic cattle). It matches the Rfam family "tRNA". Rfam says of the family: Transfer RNA (tRNA) molecules are approximately 80 nucleotides in length. RNAcentral also lists the same sequence under 2 other names. The record is from Rfam by way of RNAcentral. Lineage: Eukaryota; Metazoa; Chordata; Mammalia; Artiodactyla; Bovidae.